UACGGAGGGGGCUAGCGUUGUUCGGAAUUACUGGGCGUAAAGGGCGCGUAGGCGGCCUCUUAAGUCGGACGUGAAAUCCCCGGGCUCAACCCGGGAACUGCGUCCGAUACUGGGAGGCUUGAAUCCGGGAGAGGGAUGUGGAAUUCCAGGUGUAGCGGUGAAAUGCGUAGAUAUCUGGAGGAACACCGGUGGCGAAGGCGGCAUCCUGGACCGGUAUUGACGCUGAGGCGCGAAAGCUAGGGGAGCAAACGGG
RNAcentral lists this ribosomal RNA (253 nucleotides) under uncultured bacterium. RNAcentral's name for it is "partial 16S ribosomal RNA". It matches the Rfam family "Bacterial small subunit ribosomal RNA", at positions 524 to 776 of the family's 1533-position model. The record is from RNAcentral.